RNAcentral lists this ribosomal RNA (466 nucleotides) under uncultured bacterium. RNAcentral describes it as "bacterial SSU rRNA". It matches the Rfam family "Bacterial small subunit ribosomal RNA", at positions 28 to 507 of the family's 1533-position model. The record is from RNAcentral.
GACGAACGCUGGCGGCGUGCUUAACACAUGCAAAUCGAACGGUGACGAGGAGCUUGCUCCUCCGAUCAGUGGCGAACGGGUGAGUAACACGUGAGUAACCUGCCCCAGACUCUGGGAUAACAGUUGGAAACAGCUGCUAAUACCGGAUACGAGACGGAGAGGCAUCUCUACCGUCUGGAAAGUUUUUCGGUCUGGGAUGGACUCGCGGCCUAUCAGCUUGUUGGUGAGGUAAUGGCUCACCAAGGCGACGACGGGUAGCCGGCCUGAGAGGGCGACCGGCCACACUGGGACUGAGACACGGCCCAGACUCCUACGGGAGGCAGCAGUGGGGAAUAUUGCACAAUGGGCGAAAGCCUGAUGCAGCGACGCCGCGUGAGGGAUGACGGCCUUCGGGUUGUAAACCUCUUUCAGCAGGGAAGAAGCGAAAGUGACGGUACCUGCAGAAGAAGCACCGGCUAACUACGUG